GCCGCCGCCGCCGCACUUCCGGGUGCCAUUGCAGCUCCUAACCAAGGUGCUCAGUACCGCGGCUAGGGUGCCCAGCGGGAGGCUGGGUAGUUACCGGAGGAGGCAGAGCCGGUCGCACGCCUGGGUCCCAGCGGAGGCCCAGUCGACUCUCGACCCGGGCCCCAGCCUCCUUGCGUGGCGAAGGUCGUGCCUCAGGUCUCCUGGCGAACCUGGCCGCCCGGAAGCGGAGAGUGACUCCUCCCCUUCGUCCCCUCGGUGCCCGCCAGGCGGCGCCGUCGGCUGGGCCCGGAUUCCCCUGCGGCUUCGAUCCCUUUCCACUGGGUAUUGAGAUUGGCGAGGGGAGAGGCGCAGAAACGGCGUGAUGCAGAAAGCCUCAGUGUUGCUCUUCCUGGCCUGGGUCUGCUUCCUCUUCUACGCUGGCAUUGCCCUCUUCACCAGUGGCUUCCUGCUCACCCGUUUGGAGCUCACCAACCAUAGCAGCUGCCAAGAGCCCCCAGGCCCUGGGUCCCUGCCAUGGGGGAGCCAAGGGAAACCUGGGGCCUGCUGGAUGGCUUCCCGAUUUUCGCGGGUUGUGUUGGUGCUGAUAGAUGCUCUGCGAUUUGACUUCGCCCAGCCCCAGCAUUCACACGUGCCUAGAGAGCCUCCUGUCUCCCUACCCUUCCUGGGCAAACUAAGCUCCUUGCAGAGGAUCCUGGAGAUUCAGCCCCACCAUGCCCGGCUCUACCGAUCUCAGGUUGACCCUCCUACCACCACCAUGCAGCGCCUCAAGGCCCUCACCACUGG
RNAcentral lists this long non-coding RNA (783 nucleotides) under Homo sapiens (human). RNAcentral's name for it is "non-protein coding lnc-STOML2-1:3". Lineage: Eukaryota; Metazoa; Chordata; Mammalia; Primates; Hominidae. The record is from RNAcentral.